CGUUGUAGUAACAUUGCCUCUUUUUUAUCAGGCAAUAUUUGUCCAUAAAUAUCACGUCUUCUUACAUUCUUGUCAGAGUUUGUAUGUUCUGCAUAUCGCCGUUUGUUUCUUUGGCCGGAAUACAUUUUUUCACAAGCUUAUUAACGCAAGAUAACUGCAUUUAUAAUAGUCAAAACAAAAAAGGCAUCAGUAGACCCUAAGUAACAUAUUUUAUUGUCCAUUCUACUGCUAAAUAAUAGAAAUAUAAUAACCCGUUGGGGUUCAGUCUUUUAAAGACCAAUCUUUUAAAGAAAGUAGAAUAGUAGGGGGGAAAAAAUGAAGAGAACUUAGAAUUCACAGAAGAAAUCCAAAAUAAAUAAAUUAAUAAAAACAGACAACAAAUCAGAACCCAACCUCACUUUUUUUCACUUUUCUGAAACGAAUCUUAAGACUAAAAUGAAGAAAAUAUUGUUAAUCAAGCCAAAACCCCAAAGAUCUGAUAUUUUUGCAGAAGAAGAAAAAGUAGAACAGAAAGCAUAAAUAAAAUGAAAUACUGGACUAAUUGGAAUAAACAUGCUCUUUGUGGUAGAUGAGAAUCGGAAAAGGCUAAGUGCUCUAAUUUCGUUGAAUUAUUAGGUGAAGUCUGCUAAAUUUUGGGGCAAUUGAUGAUGUCCUCUUUCCUUCCUUCGGUAAUUUUUUGUUAUUGCAAACAGAUGUGGAGUAAGUUGUGUUGAAUUGAGGUUUUAGGUUUGAAUAAUUGGGAGUCCACGCAUUGGCUAAUGGCAGAAAGAGU
Molecule: long non-coding RNA, 772 nt
Filed under: Nicotiana tabacum (common tobacco)
Lineage: Eukaryota; Viridiplantae; Streptophyta; Magnoliopsida; Solanales; Solanaceae
Description: long non-coding RNA (NTAB_LNC001544)
Source: RNAcentral